UACGAAGGGGGCUAGCGUUGCUCGGAAUCACUGGGCGUAAAGGGUGCGUAGGCGGGUCUUUAAGUCAGGGGUGAAAUCCUGGAGCUCAACUCUGGAACUGCCCUUGAAACUGUAUGGCUUGAGUAUGAGAGAGGUGAGUGGAAUUCCCAGUGUAGAGGUGAAAUUCGUAGAUAUUGGGAAGAACACCGGUGGCGAAGGCGGCUCACUGGCUCAUUACUGACGCUCAGGCGCGACAGCGUGGGGAUCAAACAGG
RNAcentral lists this ribosomal RNA (253 nucleotides) under uncultured bacterium. RNAcentral's name for it is "partial 16S ribosomal RNA". It matches the Rfam family "Bacterial small subunit ribosomal RNA", at positions 524 to 776 of the family's 1533-position model. The record is from RNAcentral.